UUCUCAACUCACCAUCACAUACUGGUAAUGUGGGGCUGUGACAGCCAAUUAAAAAACAUUCUAUCAGUACUUCUGGUUGUCUUCUCAACUCACCAUCACAUACUGGUAAUGUGGGGCUGUGACAGCCAAUUAAAAAACAUUCUAUCAGUACUUCUGGUUGUCUUCUCAACUCACCAUCACAUACUGGUAAUGUGGGGCUGUGACAGCCAAUUAAAAAACAUUCUAUCAGUACUUCUGGUUGUCUUCUCAACUCACCAUCACAUACUGGUAAUGUGGGGCUGUGACAGCCAAUUAAAAAACAUUCUAUCAGUACUUCUGGUUGUCUUCUCAACUCACCAUCACAUACUGGUAAUGUGGGGCUGUGACAGCCAAUUAAAAAACAUUCUAUCAGUACUUCUGGUUGUCUUCUCAACUCACCAUCACAUACUGGUAAUGUGGGGCUGUGACAGCCAAUUAAAAAACAUUCUAUCAGUACUUCUGGUUGUCUUCUCAACUCACCAUCACAUACUGGUAAUGUGGGGCUGUGACAGCCAAUUAAAAAACAUUCUAUCAGUACUUCUGGUUGUCUUCUCAACUCACCAUCACAUACUGGUAAUGUGGGUCUGUGACAGCCAAUUGCAUAUUAGUCUGGCAAUGCAUCUUCUCUCACCACCACUAAUGAGAUGGGCGUGGCUUGAUGUCGGGUCGGAGCUUCUCAAAGUCAGGGGGGGCGUGGUCGACAGUGAGCACCUCAUCUCUGCUGUCACAUCCUACCUGGAUUGAUAUUUGGGUUUUUAAUGCAGGCGAGAGAACCGAGUUCAGCUUCACACAGCUAUGAAGGGUACAAUGAGUUUUAUGGUGCUUUCAAGACAACUGGGAACUCGUAAGAAAUAAGAGAUCAAAUCAUGACGUCGGAAUGUUAGAGCUCUAAAAAGAGGCCAGAGUUCCGGAGUUGGAAUUCUCAGUUGGAUGACCAUUCUAAUUCUUUUCCAGAGUUACAAGUUGUCUUGAACAAGCAGAAGUCAUGCUGGAUUGACA
This 1017-nucleotide long non-coding RNA is filed under the name Oncorhynchus kisutch (coho salmon). RNAcentral's name for it is "lncRNA (ENSOKIG00005017396.1)". Lineage: Eukaryota; Metazoa; Chordata; Actinopteri; Salmoniformes; Salmonidae. The record is from RNAcentral.